Molecule: long non-coding RNA, 1254 nt
Organism: Papaver somniferum (opium poppy)
Lineage: Eukaryota; Viridiplantae; Streptophyta; Magnoliopsida; Ranunculales; Papaveraceae
Exons: 6
Source: RefSeq, a predicted model, not a curated record
CGUCUUCUCUCUCAUUCUCUCAGAUAGGACUCUGAAGAAAAAAAAAUCUUCCGCCAUUGAAACUAGAGGAAACUAGGUAUGAAUGAUAAUCAGGGUUUGGUAUUUAGGGUUUGAAUCGAUUGAUGAUAUUUUUUCUGUUAGGGUUUGAUAAUUAGGGUUUGGCUUAUUCUCCAACGAGAAGGCUCGACUAAUUCUGCUUUUCUCUUUUAUCUUCUUCUCCUCUCUCCUCGUAUUCUUCAUCGUCGUUUCGUCUCUGCAUGAACAGAGAUAUUUAAAGAGAAAUUUGUUAAAUUAAUAAGUCAAGAAAGGUUGAUGAGAUUGUGAGUCUGAUUUGGUUAUGGUUAUUGUAGAUUGAAGAAAGGAAAAUCAUUAAGAAAUUAGGGUUCUGUUGCGUUGAUGAUAGAUUGAUUAAGAAACUGAGCUAUUAGGGCUGGGUUUUGAUAACAUAAUAUAAGGAAGAAUUAGGGUUUCAUUUCAGGUCUGAGAUUAGGAAGUUAAUCUAGCUAGGGUUUGUCUGAGUUGCGAUUUGAAGAGGGUUUGUUUGAAUUAAGGUGAAGAUUUCUGUAUCGAAUCAAGUAAAAAAGAAUCUGAUUCAAUUGGUGAAAUUAUCUUGAGCAUUUGCAAAUAUUAUGCAUGUGGACUGCACCAAAUAUCCAAGGCUGUGAGCUUUUUGGACAAUGACUGCAAGCUAGUGAAGAAUCCAUUCGAAGAAGAUUGGGUAGUUAGGAUUAAAAACUGUAUUGAUUUUGGCUUCGAGUUACAGACAAGGGUUGAUAAGGCUGAAUCAGCAAAUACUGGCCUGGAUUCUACAUUUCAGAUAGCUGCAUCUUGGCAAGUCAAUAAGAACUUCUUAUACAAGGAAAAGUGGGUCCGUUAAGCUCAUCAAUAACUCUAGCAUUCAAGUCACGAUUGAAACCUUCCUUCACAUUCAGCCAUUCUGCUGUUAGAGAUGGUAGGACUGCCACCACAGGUUUUGGGUUCGGGCUUCGUGCUGAGGAUCGUGUCUUUGGGUGUUUUCCUUAGAGAGCAUAUGAAGAUCUUAAUGAGAAAAGGCAGUUGCUUGUUAUUUGCCUUCAGCACUUCAAAAUGUAAGUGUGCAUGAACCAGUAACAUUUUAAAUUCUAUAAAUUAGUUUUUUUGGGUAUUAAUUUGCAUCCUUAUAUAGUAGGGGCAUAAGUGUAACUAUAAUUUUCUGGAUUGUUAAGUUCAUUCAGUAACGGCAUGACUUUAAAGUUCAUUCUUACUUCACUGUGC